GCCGGGCGCGGUGGCGCGCGCCUGUAGUCCUAGCUACUCGGGAGGCUGAGGCAGGAGGAUCGCUUGAGUCCAGGAGUUCUGGGCUGCAGUGCGCUAUGCCGAUCGGGUGUCCGCACUAAGUUCGGCAUCAAUAUGGUGACCUCCUGGGAGCGGGGGACCACCAGGUUGCCUAAGGAGGGGUGAACCCGCCCAGGUCAAAACUCCCGUGCUGAUCAAGAAGAAGGAUAGGAAGCAGGAGGGGAGAAGGGGAGAA
This 253-nucleotide small RNA is filed under the name Castor canadensis (American beaver). Its description in RNAcentral is "Metazoan signal recognition particle RNA (ENSCCNG00000011294.1)". It matches the Rfam family "Metazoan signal recognition particle RNA", at positions 1 to 252 of the family's 299-position model. Rfam says of the family: The signal recognition particle (SRP) is a universally conserved ribonucleoprotein. It is involved in the co-translational targeting of proteins to membranes. Lineage: Eukaryota; Metazoa; Chordata; Mammalia; Rodentia; Castoridae. The record is from RNAcentral.